GUGAGGAAUAUUGCGCAAUGGAGGCAACUCUGACGCAGCCAUGCCGCGUGCAGGAAGAAGGCGCUACGCGUUGUAAACUGCUUUUAACCGGGAAGAAACCCCAGGACGUGUCCUGGGUUGACGGUACCGGAGGAAUAAGCACCGGCUAACUUCGUGCCAGCAGCCGCGGUAAUACGAAGGGUGCAAGCGUUAUCCGGAUUCAUUGGGUUUAAAGGGUGCGUAGGCGGAGCGUUAAGUCAGUGGUGAAAUCCUGCAGCUUAACUGUGGACUUGCCAUUGAUACUGGCGCUCUUGAGUGCGCUUGAAGUGGGCGGAAUGUGCCGUGUAGCGGUGAAAUGCUUAGAUAUGGCACAGAACACCAAUUGCGAAGGCAGCUCACUAAGGCGAUACUGACGCUGAGGCACGAAAGCGUGGGGAUCGAACAGGAUUAGAUACCCGAGUAGUCC
RNAcentral lists this ribosomal RNA (445 nucleotides) under uncultured bacterium. RNAcentral's name for it is "partial 16S ribosomal RNA". It matches the Rfam family "Bacterial small subunit ribosomal RNA", at positions 354 to 796 of the family's 1533-position model. The record is from RNAcentral.